Molecule: ribosomal RNA, 220 nt
Filed under: uncultured fungus
Lineage: Eukaryota; Fungi
Description: partial small subunit ribosomal RNA
Rfam family: Eukaryotic small subunit ribosomal RNA (bases 105-220)
Source: RNAcentral
GGUCUUGGGCGGUGGUCCGUCAUUCAUUUGAUGUGCACCUCUGGUCCGAGUCCAUCCUCGGGGAGGACGCGUCUGCCAUUCAGUUGGUGGGCGCGGUCGCCCCGUCAUUUACUGUGAGCAAAAUAGAGUGUUCAAAGCAGGCUUAUGCCGUUGAAUACAUUAGCAUGGAAUAAUGGAAUAGGGCUGCUGCCCCAUUUUGUUGGUUUCUGGGACCGUAGCA